RNAcentral lists this long non-coding RNA (4092 nucleotides) under Marmota monax (woodchuck). Lineage: Eukaryota; Metazoa; Chordata; Mammalia; Rodentia; Sciuridae. The record is from RNAcentral.
GAAGAAAGGAAGAAAGGAAGAAAGAAGGAUGAAGAAGGAGGAGGAGGAGGAGGAGGAGGAGAAGAAGAUAAAAGCUGAUAUCUAUUAUCUCAAAGACUCUGUUGUUCUGUAUCGCUAGCCUAGUAUAUAUACUAGAUUGUUAACUACACAACUGGCCAUAUUGUGCAUUUUUUGUUCACCAGUAUAACCCCAUAGCUUCAUACAGGGCCUGGGACACAUGAUAGAUAGAAUCACUGAUUUUCAUAAAGAAUGAGUCCAUGCAAUUUGCUCUAUCCAUUGAAAUAUUGCCUCAAAUUCCUCACGGUUAAAACUGACUUCACACUUUUUGACCCAUAAUAUCUGGUAUGAUUUGAACAUGAUUUGAGUGUAUCCCCCAAGGGUUUCUGUGUUAAAAUUUAAUCCCAACUGUGAGGUAUUAAGAUGGCAAAAGCUUAAUCUGACUUUGGUAUUUAAUUGUGGGGCCUUUAGGAGGUAAUUAGAAUUAAAUAAGGUCAUUAGAGUAGACAACCCAUGUUGUUAAUUUUACAAGAAAAAAAAGAGACAACAUGCAUACUCCCUGUCUCUUACUAUGUGAUGCUCUCACAGUCUAAGUACUCUACUAAAAAAAGACCAUCACAAGAUGCAGACCAUUGAACCUCUUUUCUUUAUAAAGUUACCUAGCUGCAGGUAUUUUAUUAUAAUAACAUAAAAUGGACUAAUCUCAUAUCACUCCUAGAAAGCUCAGUAAUACAAAAAUAUAUAUGCACAAGGUUAUUAAUUGUAGUAUUAUUUAUAAUUUUAAAAUAAUUUAAAACUACCUAAAUGUCAAAUCAUAGAUGGAUGAAUAAGCUAUGAAAUAUACCUACUAUACAGUAGUUAUACAAUUAUAGAAAUAAAAAUAUAACUGUGAAAUUAUAUGCCAUGACUUGCAAGAGAUAUUAAGCAUAACAAAUAGCAUAUAGAGCAUAAGAACCAGGGAUCUCAUGAUGGAAGAAGAAUACAAUUAUGGAAAGAUAAUGCAAAACCAAAACAAAACCAAUAAGUAUAGACUGGAAAGGGAGGUAUGAAGGAAUACUAUCUAAAUUAUGCAUGUAUAUAACAUAUAUAUACACACACACACACGGAUGCAUGUGUAUAUAUACAUUCACAGACCGGUCUCUGGUGAAAAGGUCUAUAGAAACCCCAGUCUCAAAGAGCUUACUAGGUCCACUCAAAGGAAUGAGAAUUCCUUGGAGAAAUAGUUGAUUUCAUGGGUGGGGGUACAAAAUGAUCCUGGUAUAGUAAGAAGGUUAAAAAUAAAUAAAUAAAGGAUGAAGUCACAAGGGAACAGAAAUCAUUUGGUAAUGCUACUACUGGUGACUUCUGGGAUCACUUGGAAUCCAAAUAAACAAGUACAUAAAUGAAUUACAAACCUCUGAAAACAAGAAUGUCAUUAGUCCAUGAUAGAUAGAUAGAUAGAUACGUAGAUAGAUUAAAAAAAAUUAAACAACAUUUGAUUAUGGUAGAAAAUUAAUGCUGACUAGUUACCAUGGAGAAAAUACUGAAGUUAGAAAAUUAUCAUUUUGCAACUAUCUAGUCAAAGGUUAGAUUGUGCAAAAUCAUGAUAAAUACUAUAUACAGGAAAAAUUUUUAUGAAAAUGGAAAUUUUUCAUGAUUUUAAAAUAUAUCCUGAUUAAUUUUGAGGGAGGAAAAAAGUAACAUAGUGAAGAAGUUGGAUAAAACCUUCAAAAGGUGCAUAACAAUUAACACUGCAAUGAAGGAUAUGUGAACACCCUGUGGUCUUCAGUUAUCAUGCAUGUUCUCUUUAGCAGUUCAAUAAAAAUGCAUAACCUGAAUCUAAUUAUGAGGAAACAUAACAUCAGGUAAAUACAAAUGAGUGGUAUGAGCUCUUCUAUAUCCAUAGUAUGAAAAAAUAAGAGAACAAAAUAAAAUGUUAAGAAUGGUUGAAUUUGGGUAAAAAGCAUCUAGGACUUUCUUUGUAAUGUUUUUACUAUAAGUUUGAAAUUAUUUCUAUAAAAAAUAUUUUUAAAAAAGUAAUGCAUGAAUAUAUGUCCUUUGAAGAAGAAAAAAAUCAAACAGGAAGAUGUAAAUGGAAAAUAAAAUGAAUUAUCAACCUCCCAAUGUUAUCUUUUCCCCACUAGAAGCUAAACUUCACAAAGUCAAGAUUUUUUUUUCCUGUUUUUUGCUCAAAUACAUCCCAAGCACCCACACUGGUGCUUGGCACCUGAACAGCUCCUACAAUAUUCAUUUACUGGAGAGAUGAAUGAGUAGAUACAAGUUAUGAUUGUUACGGUUUGAAUAUGAGGUGUCCCCCAAAAGUUCACACGUGAGACAAUGCAAGAGAGUUCAGAAGGUAAAUGAUUGGGUUAUAAGAGUCUUAACCCAAUAGCGAAUUAAUUGCCUGAUGGGAUUAACUGAGUAGUAACUGAAAGCAGGGUGUACCUGGAGGAGGUAAGGCAGUAAGGGUGUGGUUUUGGGGUCUAUAUUUGUAUCUGGCGAGUAGAGAACUAUUUCUCUGUUUUCUGAUCACCAUGUGAACUGCUUCCCUCUGCCACACACUUGCACCAUGAUCUUCUGCUUCCUCUUAAGCUCCAAGGAAUGGAGCCGGCCUGCUACACCAACUAAGACCUCUGAAACUGUGAGCCCUCAAAUAACCUUUUUCUCCUCUACAGUUGUUUUGGUCAGAUCUUUUAGUCACAGUGGCAAAAAAAAAAAAAAAAAACUGACUAAAACAACUAUUUUCCUCCUCCUUACUUUACGUAGAUCUGUAUACUAAAAUUAUUUAUUUAUGAAAUAAAUUUGGUCAGACUACUAAAAAGCUCACGAAGACUUCAUUAUUGCUUUUUCCUUAGUAUUUCUUCUCCUUUGCCAUGAAAACAGAAUACCUAGAUCCCACUGAUAAUACAUUCCAAAGCCCCUUGAAUAAUUCAAGUCACUCCAUGUAUUUGCACCCUUUAAAUGGUCUUCUUUCUUAUCCUCUUACUCCUUACCCUGUUCUCCUCCAACCCAACAGAGAAAUCUUUAUAACAUAACUUUUUUUUCCUAUGUCUUCAGAUUUUCAGAAUGAAUUUUCAUCACCUGUAGAAUAAUUGAUGAGAAGCAUGAAUAGCAUGCAUUACAAGUGUUUCAAGAUAUGUUUUCUUAGCUGGGUGCAGUGGCAUAUGCUUGUAAUCCCAAUGACUUGGGAGGCUAACACAAGAGAAUCAUAAAUUUAAAGCCAGCCUCAAUGACUUAGUGAGGCUGAGAGGCCCUAAGCAACUUAGACUCUGUCUCAAAAUAAAAAGAGCUAGGGAUGGUAGUUCAAUGGUUAAGUGCUCCCCCACACCCCCGCCCUCCACCAAAAAGAUAUGUCUCAUUUUCUCUUUCUUCAUCUCUACUGAGAUAUAGUUGACAAAUAAAAAUUGUUAACAUUAAUAGGUAUACUUAGAUGUUUUGAUAUACAUGCAGUAUGUGAAACAAUCACAAACAAGCUAAAAACAUUUUCACCUCAAAUAACUACCAUUUAUUUUUCUGGUGAGAACAAUAAAGAUUUACCCUCAUAGCAAAUGUCAAGUAUACAAUGUACUCUCAUUAACUGUAUUAAUAAUAUAUAAUAAUAAUAAUUAAUAAUAAUAUAUAAUACUCUACUGUCUUUUACCCACUUUUGAAUCAGGUUAUUUGUUCUGUUUUAUUUUGCUAUUGAGUUACAUAGCUUCUAUAUAAAUAUUAGAUAUUAAAGCCUCUCUCCGUGUGUAUGUGUGUGUGUGUUUAUGGAGAGAGAUACAGAGAGAGAAAGAGAGAGAGAGAGAGAGAGAGAGAGAGAGAGAGAGAGAGAGAGAGAAAGAGAGAUCCUGACACAAAAAUACAAAUACUACAUGAUCUAUCUGUAUAUACAGAGAGAUACAAUAUGUAGUAUGUAAGAAGUAUACAUAGUUUGUAUACAUCCAAAUAUCUAAAAUCCAAAUCUUCAGGCAAAAAUUCCAAAGUCCAAAAAUCUCUGAGAUCUGAAACAAACAUCUUAUAUAAGGGAUAUUAAAAGGGAUAUUAAAAACAGAAGUUCAUUGGAUUAGACAAAGGGGAAUGAAGGAAAUGGAGGGGGAAUGGGCAUAAGAAAGAUACUAGAAUGAAUCAGAC